Passer domesticus (house sparrow) is the source of this 1516-nucleotide long non-coding RNA. RefSeq lists it as uncharacterized. NCBI's taxonomy places the organism in Eukaryota, Metazoa, Chordata, Aves, Passeriformes, Passeridae. The record is from RefSeq and is a predicted model, not a curated record. The transcript has 3 exons.
UAGGACCUAGUUUGGAACAUGGUCACAUACACACAGGGCUGAGCUCUUGAAAGGAUUCCUUGAUAGUGUCAAAAGGACAAGACAGACACGUGGUGGUUGUACAGGACAGCAAAGUGCUGCUGCCAGGCUGUGAAGUCACAGCUGUAUUGAAUUCCUGGCUCAGGGCAGAGAAACGUAGAGGAGGCGAAUCUUGAAAAAUGCAAAUGUAUUUAGAUUUAGAGGAACUCUGCUCUUAGAUAGUAGAGCCACACUACCACAGAAAUACCUCAAGAAGAAGAGUGGAUAAUUGUUAAAAUCAUCAGACUGCAAUGAGCUCUUGCUAUCCAGCUGCAGGUACACUGGAUUUCUUUAGGUAGAAGAAAGGACUCUGGAGCAGAGAGGCAAGAAAGAAUUUCCCUAAGGUCACCCAGAGGCAGGGACAGAGCCAUCUGCCUGAGUUCCAAGCCUGUGCUCCUUUGACUGCCGAUAUCAGGAGCACUGACAUGGAUGCAGUUUGCUGUUGUGCCAGAAAGCUGAAUCCCAACCACCCUGCUUGGCAUUGAAACUCCAGACAUCAGCAGGCAGAAGGAGCUGUGAAGAGCUGAACGCCUCAGGCUUCCUUGGAGAGGAAGAUGCCAGCCUGUCCACCACAGGACACAAGAUGCAGUGAAACCUGCUGGAACUGGGCCUCCUUUGUAAGAGUCACAAAAUAACUCUGACACCAAAGAAUCUCCACCAUUCUCCAGAAUAUUAACAAUGCUCUUUGCACCCGACUUGACCCAUUGUUUCGUGUUUCCUUAAAUGUCAUGGUUUGCACAUGGAAGACUCAGAGCUAAAGUAAAAUUACAAAUUAAUUAUCCUUCAAAUUGAGCUUGUCUCCCCCAGGUUAGAUUCCAUAUACAUCUGAGGAGAACUGUGGUUGGAAUGAUAACAUAAACCAUAUUGCCAAAAUCCUUAACCUCACUAGGUCUGUUAAUUCAAAGUAACAAAUGCUUCCUCAUGCCCUCCCAAUUUACAUGUGAAUUUUGUUAUCACCUCCAGUUUUUAAAAAAGUGCUUCUUGCCACAAUGAGUAUUAAAAGCCAAAUUCUAAAGGAAAAGCAUAUGAAAGGAAAUUAUUAUUGAAGCAUUAAGAGACAGUGGUAAGAUGUUCAUUGAAUUUGCUCAGUACCUCAUCAGCCUCCUCAAAAAACAAAGUCCAGUGCUCUCAGGAGAUAUGUACAUACUUAAGCACAUCAGAAUUACAGCUUCCAUCUAAUGAACAUUUACCUCCUUCUAAAUGUCACUCUUGAAGGGAGUAACCAGAAAAAAUGUCACUGAAGAUAAUAUCCCUCAUGGACACGAGGCAAUAAAACCAUCACUAGGUCCAGGUGGAAAAUCAUUAUUCAGAACAUCAUAGAAGCCCUUCAAUUAUUUCUCCAUCUGUGAAACUGUUGUCAAGUGUCCCCCAAAGUCAGCAACUGUUCAGUGUGCAAUGAUGGAUUUUUAGGUUUUUUUACAUUAUUUUAAAAAAUCCAUUGCUUGAAGGAAAACAGGGA